GAACGGCAGCACAGUAAGAGCUUGCUCUUAUGGGUGGCGAGUGGCGGACGGGUGAGGAAUACAUCGGAAUCUACUCUUUCGUGGGGGAUAACGUAGGGAAACUUACGCUAAUACCGCAUACGACCUACGGGUGAAAGCGGAGGACCUUCGGGCUUCGCGCGGUUGAAUGAGCCGAUGUCGGAUUAGCUAGUUGGCGGGGUAAAGGCCCACCAAGGCGACGAUCCGUAGCUGGUCUGAGAGGAUGAUCAGCCACACUGGAACUGAGACACGGUCCAGACUCCUACGGGAGGCAGCAGUGGGGAAUAUUGGACAAUGGGCGCAAGCCUGAUCCAGCCAUGCCGCGUGGGUGAAGAAGGCCUUCGGGUUGUAAAGCCCUUUUGUUGGGAAAGAAAAGCAGUCGGUUAAUACCCGAUUGUUCUGACGGUACCCAAAGAAUAAGCACCGGCUAACUUCGUGCCAGCAGCCGCGGUAAUACGAAGGGUGCAAGCGUUACUCGGAAUUACUGGGCGUAAAGCGUGCGUAGGUGGUGGUUUAAGUCUGUUGUGAAAGCCCUGGGCUCAACCUGGGAAUUGCAGUGGAUACUGGAUCACUAGAGUGUGGUAGAGGGUAGCGGAAUUCCCGGUGUAGCAGUGAAAAUGCGUAGAGAUCGGGAGGAACAUCCCCUGGCGAAUGCGGCUACCUGGACCAACAC
This 691-nucleotide ribosomal RNA is filed under the name Xanthomonas axonopodis. RNAcentral's name for it is "bacterial SSU rRNA". It matches the Rfam family "Bacterial small subunit ribosomal RNA", at positions 64 to 740 of the family's 1533-position model. The record is from RNAcentral. Lineage: Bacteria; Pseudomonadati; Pseudomonadota; Gammaproteobacteria; Lysobacterales; Lysobacteraceae.